RNAcentral lists this ribosomal RNA (265 nucleotides) under Mantidactylus melanopleura. Its description in RNAcentral is "partial 16S ribosomal RNA". It matches the Rfam family "Bacterial large subunit ribosomal RNA", at positions 2270 to 2597 of the family's 2925-position model. The record is from RNAcentral. Lineage: Eukaryota; Metazoa; Chordata; Amphibia; Anura; Mantellidae.
AGGUUGGGGCGACCGCGGAGUACAAUAAAACCUCCACAAUGAAUGGGAACACCCCCUUAUCUGAGGGCCACACCCCCUAAGAAUUAGAACACUAACAUAAAAUGAUCCAUUAUUUGAUCAAUGAACCAAGUUACCCUGGGGAUAACAGCGCAAUCCAUUUCAAGAGCCCCUAUCGACAAAUGGGUUUACGACCUCGAUGUUGGAUCAGGGUACCCCAGUGGUGCAGCAGCUACUAACGGUUCGUUUGUUCAACGAUUAAAACCCU